RNAcentral lists this unclassified non-coding RNA (143 nucleotides) under Flavobacterium xinjiangense. RNAcentral describes it as "Flavo-1 RNA". The record is from RNAcentral. Lineage: Bacteria; Pseudomonadati; Bacteroidota; Flavobacteriia; Flavobacteriales; Flavobacteriaceae.
UUUUAGCCCAGAUCGAAAUGGAAACCCCGGAUUGAGAAUGCUGUUUUUUCUUGCGUUUUCAGAGGGACCAAAGGAAGCUCCUGAAAACGUAAUAGAAAAAAAGCUUUUCGAACGAGGAGUUGUAAUGGAGUGCUGGAAUUGCU